Molecule: ribosomal RNA, 465 nt
Filed under: Vreelandella stevensii
Lineage: Bacteria; Pseudomonadati; Pseudomonadota; Gammaproteobacteria; Oceanospirillales; Halomonadaceae
Description: partial 16S ribosomal RNA
Rfam family: Bacterial small subunit ribosomal RNA
Source: RNAcentral
CCUACGGGGGGCAGCAGUGGGGAAUAUUGGACAAUGGGCGAAAGCCUGAUCCAGCCAUGCCGCGUGUGUGAAGAAGGCCUUCGGGUUGUAAAGCACUUUCAGUGGGGAAGAAAGCCUUGGGGCUAAUACCCUCGAGGAAGGACAUCACCCACAGAAGAAGCACCGGCUAACUCCGUGCCAGCAGCCGCGGUAAUACGGAGGGUGCGAGCGUUAAUCGGAAUUACUGGGCGUAAAGCGCGCGUAGGCGGUCUGAUAAGCCGGUUGUGAAAGCCCCGGGCUCAACCUGGGAACGGCAUCCGGAACUGCCAGGCUAGAGUGCAGGAGAGGAGGGUAGAAUUCCCGGUGUAGCGGUGAAAUGCGUAGAGAUCGGGAGGAAUACCAGUGGCGAAGGCGGCCUUCUGGACUGACACUGACGCUGAGGUGCGAAAGCGUGGGUAGCAAACAGGAUUAGAUACCCCAGUAGUC